UGAUUGGUGCUUGCAUCAUGAAUUACAUUUGAGUGAGUGGCGAACUGGUGAGUAACACGUGGGAAACCUGCCCAGAAGCGGGGGAUAACACCUGGAAACAGAUGCUAAUACCGCAUAACAACUUGGACCGCAUGGUCCGAGUUUGAAAGAUGGCUUCGGCUAUCACUUUUGGAUGGUCCCGCGGCGUAUUAGCUAGAUGGUGAGGUAACGGCUCACCAUGGCAAUGAUACGUAGCCGACCUGAGAGGGUAAUCGGCCACAUUGGGACUGAGACACGGCCCAAACUCCUACGGGAGGCAGCAGUAGGGAAUCUUCCACAAUGGACGAAAGUCUGAUGGAGCAACGCCGCGUGAGUGAAGAAGGGUUUCGGCUCGUAAAACUCUGUUGUUAAAGAAGAACAUAUCUGAGAGUAACUGUUCAGGUAUUGACGGUAUUUAACCAGAAAGCCACGGCUAACUACGUGCCAGCAGCCGCGGUAAUACGUAGGUGGCAAGCGUUGUCCGGAUUUAUUGGGCGUAAAGCGAGCGCAGGCGGUUUUUUAAGUCUGAUGUGAAAGCCUUCGGCUCAACCGAAGAAGUGCAUCGGAAACUGGGAAACUUGAGUGCAGAAGAGGACAGUGGAACUCCAUGUGUAGCGGUGAAAUGCGUAGAUAUAUGGAAGAACACCAGUGGCGAAGGCGGCUGUCUGGUCUGUAACUGACGCUGAGGCUCGAAAGUAUGGGUAGCAAACAGGAUUAGAUACCCUGGUAGUCCAUACCGUAAACGAUGAAUGCUAAGUGUUGGAGGGUUUCCGCCCUUCAGUGCUGCAGCUAACGCAUUAAGCAUUCCGCCUGGGGAGUACGGCCGCAAGGCUGAAACUCAAAGGAAUUGACGGGGGCCCGCACAAGCGGUGGAGCAUGUGGUUUAAUUCGAAGCUACGCGAAGAACCUUA
RNAcentral lists this ribosomal RNA (929 nucleotides) under Lactiplantibacillus paraplantarum. RNAcentral's name for it is "bacterial SSU rRNA". It matches the Rfam family "Bacterial small subunit ribosomal RNA", at positions 70 to 973 of the family's 1533-position model. The record is from RNAcentral. Lineage: Bacteria; Bacillati; Bacillota; Bacilli; Lactobacillales; Lactobacillaceae.